AGAGUUUGAUCAUGGCUCAGAACGAACGCUGGCGGCAUGCCUAACACAUGCAAGUCGAACGCUUGGUUUCGGCCAAGAGUGGCGCACGGGUGAGUAGCGCGUGGGAACCUGCCUUCUUGUGGGGGAUAACCGAGGGAAACUUCGGCUAAUACCGCAUGCGCCCGGGCAACCGGGGAAAGAUUUAUCGCAGGAAGAGGGGC
This 200-nucleotide ribosomal RNA is filed under the name uncultured bacterium. RNAcentral's name for it is "partial 16S ribosomal RNA". It matches the Rfam family "Bacterial small subunit ribosomal RNA", at positions 8 to 230 of the family's 1533-position model. The record is from RNAcentral.